This 433-nucleotide ribosomal RNA is filed under the name uncultured bacterium. RNAcentral's name for it is "partial 16S ribosomal RNA". It matches the Rfam family "Bacterial small subunit ribosomal RNA", at positions 29 to 507 of the family's 1533-position model. The record is from RNAcentral.
AACGAACGCUGGCGGCAGGCCUAACACAUGCAAGUCGAGCGCGCCCUUCGGGGUGAGCGGCGGACGGGUGAGUAACGCGUGGGAACGUGCCCUUCUCUGCGGAAUAGCCUCGGGAAACUGAGAGGAAUACCGCAUACGCCCUUGGGGGGAAAGAUUGAUCGGAGAAGGAGCGGCCCGCGUUGGAUUAGGUAGUUGGUGGGGUAAUGGCCCACCAAGCCGACGAUCCAUAGCUGGUUUGAGAGGAUGAUCAGCCACACUGGGACUGAGACACGGCCCAGACUCCUACGGGAGGCAGCAGUGGGGAAUCUUAGACAAUGGGGGCAACCCUGAUCUAGCCAUGCCGCGUGAGUGAUGAAGGCCUUAGGGUUGUAAAGCUCUUUCAGCUGGGAAGAUAAUGACGGUACCAGCAGAAGAAGCCCCGGCUAACUCCGUG